CACACGACUCUCGGCAACGGAUAUCUCGGCUCUCGCAUCGAUGAAGGACGUAGCGAAAUGCGAUACCUGGUGUGAAUUGCAGAAUCCCGCGAACCAUCGAGUCUUUGAACGCAAGUUGCGCCCGAGGCCACUCGGCCGAGGGCACGCCUGCCUGGGCGUCACGC
RNAcentral lists this ribosomal RNA (164 nucleotides) under Triticum turgidum subsp. turanicum. Its description in RNAcentral is "5.8S ribosomal RNA". It matches the Rfam family "5.8S ribosomal RNA". From Rfam's summary of the family: 5.8S ribosomal RNA (5.8S rRNA) is a component of the large subunit of the eukaryotic ribosome. It is transcribed by RNA polymerase I as part of the 45S precursor that also contains 18S and 28S rRNA. Lineage: Eukaryota; Viridiplantae; Streptophyta; Magnoliopsida; Poales; Poaceae. The record is from RNAcentral.